Molecule: ribosomal RNA, 494 nt
Filed under: uncultured bacterium
Lineage: Bacteria
Description: partial 16S ribosomal RNA
Rfam family: Bacterial small subunit ribosomal RNA
Source: RNAcentral
GAUGAACGCUGGCGGCGUGCCUAAUACAUGCAAGUAGAACGCUGAAGGAGGAGCUUGCUCUUCUGGAUGAGUUGCGAACGGGUGAGUAACGCGUAGGUAACCUGCCUGGUAGCGGGGGAUAACUAUUGGAAACGAUAGCUAAUACCGCAUGACAACAGUUAUUGCAUGAUAACUGUUUAAAAGGGGCAACUGCUCCACUACCAGAUGGACCUGCGUUGUAUUAGCUAGUUGGUGAGGUAACGGCUCACCAAGGCGACGAUACAUAGCCGACCUGAGAGGGUGAUCGGCCACACUGGACUGAGACACGGCCCAGACUCCUACGGGAGGCAGCAGUAGGGAAUCUUCGGCAAUAGACGGAAGUCUGACCGAGCAACGCCGCGUGAGUGAAGAAGGUUUUCGGAUCGUAAAGCUCUGUUGUAAGAGAAGAACGAGUGUGAGAGUGGAAAGUUCACACUGUGACGGUAUCUUACCAGAAAGGGACGGCUAACUACGUG